GGAGUGGUCAUGCAUUCGGGCCGGAUCCGUCACCCUGCUAAGGUGGAGAACCCGUAAGGGUUCCGAGGGUUCAAAUCCCUCCGUCUCCG
RNAcentral lists this transfer RNA (89 nucleotides) under Rhodoglobus sp. RNAcentral describes it as "tRNA-Ser". The record is from RNAcentral. Lineage: Bacteria; Bacillati; Actinomycetota; Actinomycetes; Micrococcales; Microbacteriaceae.